AGUGAACGCUGGCGGUAGGCCUAACACAUGCAAGUCGAACGGCAGCACAGUAAGAGCUUGCUCUUACGGGUGGCGAGUGGCGGACGGGUGAGGAAUACAUCGGAAUCUACUUUUUCGUGGGGGAUAACGUAGGGAAACUUACGCUAAUACCGCAUACGACCUACGGGUGAAAGCAGGGGAUCUUCGGACCUUGCGCGAUUGAAUGAGCCGAUGUCGGAUUAGCUAGUUGGCGGGGUAAAGGCCCACCAAGGCGACGAUCCGUAGCUGGUCUGAGAGGAUGAUCAGCCACACUGGAACUGAGACACGGUCCAGACUCCUACGGGAGGCAGCAGCGGGGAAUAUUGGGCAAUGGGCGCAAGCCUGAUCCAGCCAUACCGCGUGGGUGAAGAAGGCCUUCGGGUUGUAAAGCCCUUUUGUUGGGAAAGAAAAGCAGCAGGUUAAUACCCCGCUGUUCUGACGGUACCCAAAGAAUAAGCACCGGCUAACUUCGUG
Molecule: ribosomal RNA, 492 nt
Filed under: uncultured bacterium
Lineage: Bacteria
Description: partial 16S ribosomal RNA
Rfam family: Bacterial small subunit ribosomal RNA
Source: RNAcentral